GAUGAAGAACGUAGCGAAAUGCGAUACUUGGUGUGAAUUGCAGAAUCCCGUGAACCAUCGAGUCUUUGAACGCAAGUUGCGCCCGAAGCCAUUAGGCCGAGGGCACGCCUGCCUGGGCGUCACACGUCGUUGCCCCCUCAUCUACUCCUUCGGGAUUGCGGGGGGCGGAUGAUGGCCUCCCGUGCGCCUCGCCGCGCGGUUGGCAUAAAUGCCAAGUCCUCGGCGACGCACGCCACGACAAUCGGUGGUUGCGAAACCUCGGUUGCCCGUCGUGUGCGGUCGUCGCGCAUCGAGGGCUCGAAAAAAUUGCCGGGUUCCGGCUCGGCUUUCAACGCGACCCCAGGUCAGGCGGGGUUACCCGCUGAAUUUAAGCAUAUCAAUAAGCGGAGGA
Molecule: unclassified non-coding RNA, 391 nt
Filed under: soil metagenome
Description: partial contains 5.8S ribosomal RNA, internal transcribed spacer 2, and large subunit ribosomal RNA
Rfam family: 5.8S ribosomal RNA (bases 1-122)
Source: RNAcentral